UGGGGAAUAUUGGACAAUGGGCGCAAGCCUGAUCCAGCCAUGCCGCGUGAGUGAUGAAGGCCCUAGGGUUGUAAAGCUCUUUCAACGGUGAAGAUAAUGACGGUAACCGUAGAAGAAGCCCCGGCUAACUUCGUGCCAGCAGCCGCGGUAAUACGAAGGGGGCUAGCGUUGUUCGGAUUUACUGGGCGUAAAGCGCACGUAGGCGGAUCGUUAAGUGAGGGGUGAAAUCCCAGGGCUCAACCCUGGAACUGCCUUUCAUACUGGCGAUCUGGAGUUCGAGAGAGGUGAGUGGAAUUCCGAGUGUAGAGGUGAAAUUCGUAGAUAUUCGGAGGAACACCAGUGGCGAAGGCGGCUCACUGGCUCGAUACUGACGCUGAGGUGCGAAAGCGUGGGGAGCAAACAGGAUUAGAUACCCCCGUAGUCC
This 424-nucleotide ribosomal RNA is filed under the name uncultured prokaryote. RNAcentral's name for it is "bacterial SSU rRNA". It matches the Rfam family "Bacterial small subunit ribosomal RNA", at positions 355 to 796 of the family's 1533-position model. The record is from RNAcentral.